Molecule: transfer RNA, 84 nt
Filed under: Candidatus Woesebacteria bacterium
Lineage: Bacteria; Candidatus Woeseibacteriota
Description: tRNA-Tyr
Rfam family: tRNA
About the family: Transfer RNA (tRNA) molecules are approximately 80 nucleotides in length.
Source: RNAcentral
CCAGAGGUGGCGGAGUGGCCAAUCGCAACAGACUGUAAAUCUGUCGGGAAUUUCCCUACGGAGGUUCGAAUCCUCCCCUCUGGA